RNAcentral lists this long non-coding RNA (354 nucleotides) under Junco hyemalis (dark-eyed junco). RNAcentral's name for it is "lncRNA (ENSJHYG00000010456.1)". The record is from RNAcentral. Lineage: Eukaryota; Metazoa; Chordata; Aves; Passeriformes; Passerellidae.
CAACAGAACUGUAAUUCCCUCCAGGUCCAGAUCACUACUGAGCAUGCAUUGCUCCUUCCCUUCUCCAAGAGAAGACUGCUGAACAAAAACUGCACCUGGAGAAUAUGGAGGGUGACAUCCGUCACAUUCAAGCAGCAACUUGCAGCAGUUUGCUCUAAACCCCAUUUUGUGAGUAAGUGCUGCAGGUGAAGAUCAAAGCACUCUUCAAGUGGGUUCUGGGUCAUGCACAGGCACAAAGCUGAGAGGGGGGAGGUCUUCCCAACAUUUACAGGAAAUGUGCCACCACCUGAUGACUCAUCCCAGCAACAUUUUCAGCAACAUGAGUUUCACCUAAAUGGUGGCAAUAAUUCUGUG